This 429-nucleotide ribosomal RNA is filed under the name Actinomycetes bacterium. RNAcentral describes it as "Actinobacteria bacterium partial 16S ribosomal RNA". It matches the Rfam family "Bacterial small subunit ribosomal RNA", at positions 355 to 776 of the family's 1533-position model. The record is from RNAcentral. Lineage: Bacteria; Bacillati; Actinomycetota; Actinomycetes.
UAGGGAAUCUUCCGCAAUGGGCGAAAGCCUGACGGAGCAACGCCGCGUGAGUGAUGAAGGUCUUCGGAUCGUAAAACUCUGUUAUUAGGGAAGAACAAAUGUGUAAGUAACUAUGCACGUCUUGACGGUACCUAAUCAGAAAGCCACGGCUAACUACGUGCCAGCAGCCGCGGUAAUACGUAGGUGGCAAGCGUUAUCCGGAAUUAUUGGGCGUAAAGCGCGCGUAGGCGGUUUUUUAAGUCUGAUGUGAAAGCCCACGGCUCAACCGUGGAGGGUCAUUGGAAACUGGAAAACUUGAGUGCAGAAGAGGAAAGUGGAAUUCCAUGUGUAGCGGUGAAAUGCGCAGAGAUAUGGAGGAACACCAGUGGCGAAGGCGACUUUCUGGUCUGAAACUGACGCUGAUGUGCGAAAGCGUGGGGAUCAAACAGG